ACGGGUGAGUAACACGUGGGCAACCUGCCCUUGAGACUGGGAUAACUUCGGGAAACCGGAGCUAAUACCGGAUAAUAUAAGGAACCUCCUGGUUCCUUAUUGAAAGAUGGUUUCGGCUAUCACUUGAGGAUGGGCCCGCGGCGCAUUAGCUAGUUGGUGAGGUAACGGCUCACCAAGGCGACGAUGCGUAGCCGACCUGAGAGGGUGAUCGGCCACACUGGGACUGAGACACGGCCCAGACUCCUACGGGAGGCAGCAGUAGGGAAUCUUCCACAAUGGACGAAAGUCUGAUGGAGCAACGCCGCGUGAGUGAUGAAGGCCUUCGGGUCGUAAAGCUCUGUUGUUAGGGAAGAACAAGUGCGAGAGUAACUGCUCGCACCUUGACGGUACCUAACCAGAAAGCCACGGCUAACUACGUGCCAGCAGCCGCGGUAAUACGUAGGUGGCAAGCGUCAUCCGGAAUUAUUGGGCGUAAAGCGCGCGCAGGUGGUUUCUUAAGUCUGAUGUGAAAGCCCACGGCUCAACCGUGGAGGGUCAUUGGAAACUGGGGAACUUGAGUGCAGAAGAGGAAAGUGGAAUUCCAAGU
RNAcentral lists this ribosomal RNA (586 nucleotides) under uncultured bacterium. Its description in RNAcentral is "bacterial SSU rRNA". It matches the Rfam family "Bacterial small subunit ribosomal RNA", at positions 102 to 674 of the family's 1533-position model. The record is from RNAcentral.